This 75-nucleotide transfer RNA is filed under the name Clostridia bacterium. RNAcentral describes it as "tRNA-Arg". It matches the Rfam family "tRNA". From Rfam's summary of the family: Transfer RNA (tRNA) molecules are approximately 80 nucleotides in length. Their secondary structure includes four short double-helical elements and three loops (D, anti-codon, and T loops). The record is from RNAcentral. Lineage: Bacteria; Bacillati; Bacillota; Clostridia.
GUUCCCAUAGUAAAGUGGAUAUUACGGUCCCCUCCUAAGGGAUUGUCGGCUGUUCGAGUCAGCCUGGGAACACCA